This 775-nucleotide ribosomal RNA is filed under the name uncultured Neocallimastigales. Its description in RNAcentral is "partial large subunit ribosomal RNA". It matches the Rfam family "Eukaryotic large subunit ribosomal RNA", at positions 24 to 648 of the family's 3401-position model. Lineage: Eukaryota; Fungi; Neocallimastigomycota; Neocallimastigomycetes; Neocallimastigales. The record is from RNAcentral.
UAUCUCUGUAGAGUCUGCAUAUCAAUAAGCGGAGGAAAAGAAACUAACAAGGAUUCCCUUAGUAACGGCGAGUGAAGCGGGAAGAGCUCAAAUUUGAAAUCUUCAAGGUUCUACCUUGACGAAUUGUAGUUUAAAGAAGUGUUUUCUGUUAGAUGAGUAGCAAAAGUUCUUUGGAAUAGGACAUCAUAGAGGGUGAGAAUCCCGUAUUUGACCAUUAUUUCCAGCUUUGUGAUACACUUUCAAAGAGUCGGAUUGUUUGGGAAUGCAGUCCAAAAUGGGUGGUAAAUUUCAUCUAAAGCUAAAUACUGGCGAGAGACCGAUAGCGAACAAGUACCGUGAGGGAAAGAUGAAAAGAACUUUGAAAAGAGAGUUAAACAGUACGUGAAAUUGUCAAAAGGGAAGCGUUUGACACCAGUGUUGUUUUUCCGAAAAUCAAUUACGAAUGGCUUGAUUCUGUGUUGUAUUGACCUUAUCAGCUUUCUGCACUUUUUUCGAGUCUUUCUUAAUGCACUUUUCGGUUAACAAGUCAACAUCAAUUUCUUUUGUUGUAAAAGAGUAUUCGGAAGGUGGCUUUCUUUUCGGAGAAAGUGUUUAUAGCCUUUGGCUUCUACAAUCGGAGAGAUUGAGGUCUGCAGCGUAGAUCCUUCGGGGUUAGAUACACUUGUGCUAAGUUGUAGCUUUUCAUAGACAACUUGUUGACUAUGUUUAGUCAUGCGGCUUACUCGCUUGUGCUAUUUUACCUACGCUUAGGAUGUUGACGAGACUGUCGAUCUCU